Molecule: long non-coding RNA, 279 nt
Organism: Galendromus occidentalis (western predatory mite)
Lineage: Eukaryota; Metazoa; Arthropoda; Arachnida; Mesostigmata; Phytoseiidae
Exons: 3
Source: RefSeq, a predicted model, not a curated record
CGCUCGUACUUAUUCAAACCACCAUGAAGUUCGCCCUUGUGUCGUUACUCGUCCUCCUACUCGGUCUAAGCGUCGUCUUCGCUCAACCUACAGCCAACUCGCAAAGCGCCCUAGUUGACCUCAUAGCAAGAGUUGCUGGACCUGAACGGGCCAAUCAAAUCAUGAGCAUGAUCGCCCGACUACCCCUCGGGGCUGGCCAAGUGAUCAUCCCGGCAAUGGAAAGGGCAGCCCGAUUAGUCCCAGGGACAGGUUGAUAGGUCUGUCCCUCGAUCUCCGUGG